RNAcentral lists this ribosomal RNA (1497 nucleotides) under Triticum aestivum (bread wheat). Its description in RNAcentral is "partial small subunit ribosomal RNA". The record is from RNAcentral. Lineage: Eukaryota; Viridiplantae; Streptophyta; Magnoliopsida; Poales; Poaceae.
AUGGAGUUGGCAAAUACACUGCGAAAGCGGUCAUUGUCGGUUCGCACGAGGAAUGGAGCCGUGGAAGAGCGGACGGCGGACGACGGUGAGUUGGUCGGAGAGCCGGUGAGCCCCUCCGCUAGGCUCGUUGAGGGUUGUUUUAUUGUUGUACACUUGGGUCUCGCGGCGCCCGUGAACCCAUCCGCCUGGCGCACGGGCAUCAACGCAAAGAUAGCGUCCCACCCACGGUUCAACAGAAUCCAGACGAGAGACGAGGAUGGCGUCCUACGCUGGGUGAGGACAACUGUGGACCUGGACCACCACAUCAUCUACCCAAGGCUGGAGCUGGACACGGCGGCCAACCCUGACCAGGCUGUGGAAGACUACGUGGCGUCCCUGCCCAACAAACCCAUGGACCAUUCUCGACCUCUGUGGGAGUUCCACGUCCUCGACUUCCCGACCUCCGAGGCCACUGCAACUGUGGUGAUGCGGGUGCACCACUCCCUCAGUGAUGGCACGUCUCUGCUCAUGCUCCUACUGUCCAGCACGCGCAGCGCCGCCGACCCGACCAAGCCACCAGCCAUGCCGCCAUUGCCGGCACGCUCCGGUCCUAUAUACUCUCGUCCACGACCACCACUGUCUGCGGGCGCGCUCGCGUUCGGCAUGUGGGUUUGCUCGUUCGUCCUGCUCGCUUGGCACACCGUGUGGGACGUUGCAAGCUUCUCGGCGAUCAUACUAUUCCGGAAAGAUACGCAUACGCUCUUUACCAGGAUGAACCACGACGACUGUCAGCGGAAGCGCAUUGUGCACACGAGUCUUAGCCUUGACGACGUCAAGUUCGUCAAGGAUGCCAUCAACUGCACAGUUAAUGAUGUGUUGGUUGGAGUCACUGACGCCGCCCUAUCACGAUACUACUAUCGAAAGUCAGCUGAUACAGAAAUUUGCAAGGAUAUCCGUUUGCGAUCAAUCCUUCUCGUGAAUUUGAGGGCACCUACAGCAUUGCACGCAUGUGUCAAUAUGAUAGAGUCUGGAAAGGGAAGUGUUGUAAAAUGGGGAAAUCAAAUUGGCUUCAUCAUCCUUCCAGUACAUAUAGCCAUGCACAGUGAUCCACUAGAUUACAUUCGCAAGGCCAAGAAUAUCGUGGAUAUGAAGAAGAACUCAUUAGAAGCGGUAUCCACGUAUAUGGUUGCAGAAGUGUUCCACAAAAUAUUUGGAUGGAAGGCUGGCGCAGCUAUCAUCCACCGUAUGGUCUCCCAUACAACCAUGUGUUUGUCGAAUAUGAUUGGCCCAGUUGAACAGGUGGAGUUCUUUGGCCAUCCAGUUGCCUUCAUUGCCCCUAGCCAACAUGGGAUAGCACAAGCCAUAAAUGUGAACUAUCAAAGUUACGUCAAUACAGUCAGGGUAGUUCUAGCAGUUGACGAGGCACAGUUUCCAGAUUGUUAUGAUCUUCUGGAGGACUUUUCUGAAUCCCUCAAACGAAUUAAAGGUGCAGCUAUGAGCGUUGGACAACAUAACUAG